Molecule: long non-coding RNA, 1449 nt
Filed under: Callithrix jacchus (white-tufted-ear marmoset)
Lineage: Eukaryota; Metazoa; Chordata; Mammalia; Primates; Cebidae
Description: lncRNA (ENSCJAG00000074854.1)
Source: RNAcentral
AUAAGAUGUAAAAAACAAUUUUUAAAAGGUACAAAAUAUGUGCCUAUAUGAACACCUAAGAAUGUGAAAAUAAAUUUGCUAUUACAUGCAAAAUUGGUGUCUUCAGCAGGCUAGAAAUCAAUUUCAUCUCCAUCACACAAAACUCAUUUGCGUUUCUCUGAAGAGGAGCUAUUUGCAUCACCAUCAUCGCUUCACAAAUUAUCUCCACAGUGAUGCAAAAUAGUUAAAGAGAAUGAAAGGCACACAUCCUUAUGGAAUCCCAUAACCCCAGAAGUGUCCUUGAGAUAAUGCUCAACAUCCCAUCGCAAAGAUCAUAUACCUACAAGUAUGCAAAAGAAAAUAAACUAAAAUUUAUCUACUCAGAGAAAAAACUAUCUUGGGACAUUUUCUUAAAGAAAACAAGUUACAGUGAAGGUGUUAAGAAAAUGGGAUAAUAGAAUGAGUGAGCUUCAGCUGCUGCCCAGGAAUCCUGUGUCAUGCAAAGUGGUGGAUAAUAAAUGAAUAGUGGUAAGACACUGAGAUGUUUAUCUCCCCUACUUUCUACUUUCUCUUUUGCAACUAGACAUCCCCUUGGAUAUAACUGCAGGUGACAGUAAGAUGAGAUUCAGGUACAAGUAGCAAAACUCCAGCGAGUUGUAGAGGAAGUUGGGGGGAGGAGAUAUUUUCUGGCGUUUUGACAGAUAACAAAAGGGUUAUAUUAACCAAAUGCCAUUGGUCAAAAAGCAGGUAGACUACAUUCAACCAAUGUAUCAUAUUUGCAAAAUAAGGAGAAAUAGUAAACACUGUGUAUUCUUAAACACUAGUUUUUUAAUGAUUUCUUUUAAAAUUGGUAAAUCUAUUUUUUUGUUUUUAAUAUAUUUGGAUUGUAUACUCAUCAAGUAAAGUUCUCAUAAUCCAAAAUCAUUGACAAUUUAUUAGAAGAUAUGGACAAGGAUAGGGACAGCUUCCCAAACCAAAUAUGUAAAAUUCAACAAUGUUGUUUGACAGUUCAGCCAUUUGGAAUAAAACAAAUCAUGCUAUGGUUAUAAUGUACGUACAAUAACAGGGGGUAUGAAGAGACCUGCCUCUUUAUGUGUCAAUUACCCUGAAAUUCCACCAUUGGAAAAAUAAGUAUCCAUUUUCAUAUUAUCUGUUUUUAAAAAUGAAGUGAAAUGGUUAUGUUGGUGUAUUUCUUUUAUUUUAUAAUAAUUUUUAAAAUAUAAUAAGAUAAAUACCCCUUUUUGUAUAUUUCAGAAUUGUAUUUAGUUUUUUGGGCAUUUAUUUUUCCGUAUGAAUUCCAACAUAGUUUGUCAUAUUUUGUGAAAGAAAAAUCUAGUUAUGAUAUUGAUUGUAAGCAUAUUGACCUUGUAGAUUAAUUAUGAGAGUACUGACAUUGUUUUCCUUAUCCAUCUUUCCAUUUACUUGCUCAGUUUAUUAAGGUAUUUUUCUAUUAAUUUUUAUUUAUCUUUG